This 497-nucleotide ribosomal RNA is filed under the name uncultured bacterium. RNAcentral describes it as "partial 16S ribosomal RNA". It matches the Rfam family "Bacterial small subunit ribosomal RNA", at positions 28 to 507 of the family's 1533-position model. The record is from RNAcentral.
GAUGAACGCUGGCGGCGUGCUUAAUACAUGCAAGUCGAGCGAACAGACGUGGUGCUUGCUCCUCUGACGUUAGCGGCGGACGGGUGAGUACCAUGUGGAUAACCUACCUAUAAGAAUGGGAUAACUUAGGGAACGCGGAGCUAAUACCGGAUAAUAUAUUCAUCCGCAUGGUUCACUAGUGUAAGAUGGUUUUGCUGUUACUUAUAGAUGGAUCCGCGCCGCAUUAGCUUGUCGGUAAGGUAACGGCUUACCAAGGCAAUGGUGCGUAUCCCACCCGAGAGGGGGAUCGGCCACGCUGGGAGUGAGACACGAUCCAGACUCCUACGGGGAGCAGCAGUAGGGUAGCUUCCGCGAUGGGCGAAAGCUAGACGCAGCAACGCCGCGGAGCUGAUGAAGGCCUUCGGAUCGUAAAACUCUGUGAUUAGGGAAGAACAAAUGUGUAAGUAACUGAGCACGUCUUGACGGUACCUAAGCAAAAAGCCACGGCUAACUACGUG